AUUGAACGCUGGCGGCAGGCCUAACACAUGCAAGUCGGACGGUAGCACAGAGAGCUUGCUCUUGGGUGACGAGUGGCGGACGGGUGAGUAAUGUCUGGGGAUCUGCCCGAUAGAGGGGGAUAACCACUGGAAACGGCGGCUAAUACCGCAUAACGUCGCAAGACCAAAGAGGGGGACCUUCGGGCCUCACACUAUCGGAUGAACCCAGAUGGGAUUAGCUAGCAGGCGGGGUAAUGGCCCACCUAGGCGACGAUCCCUAGCUGGUCUGAGAGGAUGACCAGCCACACUGGAACUGAGACACGGUCCAGACUCCUACGGGAGGCAGCAGUGGGGAAUAUUGCACAAUGGGCGCAAGCCUGAUGCAGCCAUGCCGCGUGUAUGAAGAAGGCCUUCGGGUUGUAAAGUACUUUCAGCGGGGAGGAAGGCGGUACGGUUAAUAACCGUACCGAUUGACGUUACCCGCAGAAGAAGCACCGGCUAACUCCGUGCCAGCAGCCGCCGUAA
This 504-nucleotide ribosomal RNA is filed under the name uncultured bacterium. RNAcentral describes it as "partial 16S ribosomal RNA". It matches the Rfam family "Bacterial small subunit ribosomal RNA", at positions 29 to 523 of the family's 1533-position model. The record is from RNAcentral.